RNAcentral lists this unclassified non-coding RNA (1545 nucleotides) under Hevea brasiliensis (rubber tree). The record is from RNAcentral. Lineage: Eukaryota; Viridiplantae; Streptophyta; Magnoliopsida; Malpighiales; Euphorbiaceae.
GCUGGGACGAAUAUGGACUUUGGAUCCUUUCUCUACCUUCAAUUUCUGACUUCUAUUUCUCCCAAAGGCUGUCAAACAUUAAGUUCUUGAAUCGUGACAUAGGCUACUGCACAAAUGUGAACCAUACAUAGCUUAAAUUUAAAGUUAAAACUGAAAAAUCAUGAUUCAUCAAGGUCAAUAUUGUUAGAGUGACUUGCAGUCUGCUACAACUUCAAUGUUGACUUCAUGUAUCUUAAAGCAGAUCGUAGCAUCGCUCUAGCUUUCCUAUCUGGGAUGCAUCCAGACAACAACAUUUCUUCAUAAACAGCUGGAACCCUUUCAAACUUCUCCACACGUAUCAAGGUUUUCAUGAGAGUGGUGUAAGUAACAACAUCCGGCUUCAUAUCAUUUUCUUUCAUAUACUUCAAUACAGCAAAAGCUUCAGCAUCUCUCCGAUCCUCACCAAAUGCAUUAAUUAGUGAAUUGAGAGCUAACAGGCUGGGCUUUAGACCAUCACCCUUCAUAAUCCUAAAGGCAUUUACUGCUUGUUCAGACAAUCCCCUCUGUGCAUAGGCAUUGAUCAAGGCAUUAUACAUGGUUGAGGAUGGCUUUAAUCCUGCAGACUUCAUUACCUCCAAGCACUCAAUAGCAUCAUUGAACCUUCCUGACUGUCCAUAAAUAUUUAUUAGAGUGGUAUAUGUAACAACGUUGGGAAGUAAGCCCUGACUCUGCAUUUUACUCAAAAGGCCCUUCACCUCCUCCCAUUUUUCCAGCUCACCGAAAGAAUUAAUCAUUAUAUUGUAUGUGGUGGUGCAGGGAGAACAUCCACUUUCCUGCAUCACCUCAAACAACUCCUCCGCCUUAUUGUGAUGGCCAUGUUUGCUAUGGCAGUCUAUAAGUGUGUUCCAUGUAACAGUAUCAGGUUCAAUUUCCUCCAACUUCAUCCUUUCAAAGGUAGACAUUGCAUGAUCCAAACAAUUGUACUUCCCAAAAGUAUCAAUCAUUAUGUUAUAGAACUGCCUAUCAGGAUUGACCCCACUAUUCUUCAUUUCUUUAAGCACCUGAAAUGAUCUCUGCCACUCUCCCCUAUCACGAUAACUAGCUAAGAUCCUACUAAACACAAAUGAAUUUGGCUGAACAUUAUUAGCUUCCAUUUCUUUCAACACAAUUCUUGCACUUUCCCACCUACCUGCAUUUCCAUAAGCAUCAAUAAGCAAGCUGUACGUAUGUUCAUCUGGUGCGACCCCACUCCUCUCCAUCUCCGACACAAUAUACUCAGCAUCCUUCAAAGAUCCAGUUUUAACAUACCCUUUUAAAAGGGAAUUAAACGCCCUCGUCCUUGGCUUUAACCCGCCUUCUUUCAACUCCUCAAAUAUAGCCUCAGCUUCGUCAGUCCUGCCUGAAUUACCCAAUUCAGAUAUCAAGUUAACAACAGUGGCUAUUUUAGGGCUCAAUCCAUUACCUUGAACAACACUCAUGAAACCUAAAGCUGUAUCAACAUCACCAGCUUUAGCGAAACCCACAAUCAUAUCAUUCAACAAUUGGCCAUCAAGUUCAAUCAUAUCG